GGGCCCGUAGCUCAGUGGUCAGAGCAGGCGACUCAUAAUCGCUCGGUCCCGGGUUCGAUCCCCGGCGGGCCCACCA
This 76-nucleotide transfer RNA is filed under the name Actinomyces sp. RNAcentral's name for it is "tRNA-Met". It matches the Rfam family "tRNA". Rfam says of the family: Transfer RNA (tRNA) molecules are approximately 80 nucleotides in length. Their secondary structure includes four short double-helical elements and three loops (D, anti-codon, and T loops). Further hydrogen bonds mediate the characteristic L-shaped molecular structure. tRNAs have two regions of fundamental functional importance: the anti-codon, which is responsible for specific mRNA codon recognition, and the 3' end, to which the tRNAs corresponding amino acid is attached (by aminoacyl-tRNA synthetases). tRNAs cope with the degeneracy of the genetic code in two manners: having more than one tRNA (with a specific anti-codon) for a particular amino acid; and 'wobble' base-pairing, i.e. permitting non-standard base-pairing at the 3rd anti-codon position. The record is from RNAcentral. RNAcentral also lists the same sequence under 1 other name. Lineage: Bacteria; Bacillati; Actinomycetota; Actinomycetes; Actinomycetales; Actinomycetaceae.